AAGCGGCUCCUACUUCGCGCACGGCAGAAGCAUCUCGGGGUCUCUCCGCCGCCCCUUGGCCAUGGCCGCGGUGCCCACGGCGCCCGCUCCCCUGCGCUCCCGGGGCUCCCGCCGCUGCCGCCGCAGCCGCCGCCACCUCUGAGCCCCGCGGGCCGCCGCCACCCGCCCGCCCGCCCGGAUCGCACCCGCCGCCGCCGCCGCGCACCAUGCUACCUGCGGCCGCCCCGGCGAGGCCGCUCGCUGCUCCGAGAACCCUCGCUCGCGGCACUGACAGCCACCCUAGCGGAGCCUCCAACCUCCGGGGCUUGGAGCAUUUGAAAGCACUAUAGUUGUUUUCCCAGUUCACCCGACCCGCUUCGUUUGCCAUCCCAGCAAGCCUCUCGGAUUUGAGUGGAGGAGUCCGCUGCUUGGGUGCUCUCGCGCCCGCCCGCUCGCUCUCUUUAAACGCCUAACACCUACGUCUAUUUCUAAAACAUUCAAUACCAUUAACAAUCCAAAGGAAAAAAAAAAGGAGAAAAGGAAGGGAACUAUUACUGGGUUACUAUGCACUUGCGACUGAUUUCUUGGUUUUUUAUCAUUUUGAACUUUAUGGAAUACAUCGGCAGCCAAAACGCCUCCCGGGGAAGGCGCCAGCGAAGAAUGCAUCCUAACGUCAGUCAAGGCUGCCAAGGAGGCUGUGCAACGUGUUCAGAUUACAACGGAUGUUUGUCAUGUAAGCCCAGACUAUUUUUUGUUCUGGAAAGAAUUGGCAUGAAGCAGAUAGGAGUGUGUCUCUCUUCAUGUCCAAGUGGAUAUUAUGGAACUCGAUAUCCAGAUAUAAAUAAGUGUACAAAAUGCAAAGCUGACUGUGAUACUUGUUUCAACAAAAAUUUCUGCACAAAGUGUAAAAGUGGAUUUUACUUACACCUUGGAAAGUGCCUUGACAAUUGCCCAGAAGGGUUGGAAGCCAAUAACCAUACCAUGGAGUGCAUCAGUAUUGUGCACUGUGAGACCAGUGAAUGGAGUUCUUGGAGUCCAUGCAUGAAGAAAGGAAAAACAUGUGGCUUCAAAAGAGGGACUGAAACACGGGUGCGAGAAAUAAUACAACAUCCCUCAGCCAAGGGUAACCUGUGUCCUCCCACCAGUGAGACAAGAAAGUGUACAGUGCAAAGAAAGAAGUGUCAGAAGGGAGAAAGAGGAAAGAAAGGAAGAGAGAGGAAAAGAAAAAAACUUAUGAAAGAAGACAGUAAGGACCCAAUUCCUGAAAACAAGGGUCUAGAGCCCAGCAGAGAAACUCCAGAACAACGAGAAAACAAAGACAAACAGCAGCAGAAGAAGCGAAAGGUCCAAGAUAAACAACAGAAAUCGGUAUCAAUCAGCACUGUACACUAGAGGGUCCGUGAGAUUGUUUAAGACUCACGAUGCUGCUAUCUCAACCAGAUGCCCAGGACAGGUGCUCUAGUCAUUAGGACCAGAAAUGGACAACGUGUCAGUUACUGCUCAGUCUAAACAACAUUCCGAAUAGUUGCUAUAUUCUUCAUAAAAGCAUAGUUAACAACAAAGAGCCCAAAGUUCAAAGAAGGGAUGCUUUUGAAUUAUUAUUGAGCUUCUGUGCAUUUUAAAGAGACAAGAGAUUUUGUACAUAAUUAUCAGUAGGCUAUAAAAUAUAACAACAUAAUGAUGACAUCUGAAUAAGGAGCAUCUUUUCCCUAUUAGAAUAUUUUUUCAAGCUAUUGUUUUAAGAAGCAAAAGAUAGUUCUGAAAAUUCAAAGGUUCAGUAUCCCUUCAAAACAAAUAGGAGAUCAGGGGAAAGACACAUCAUUCAAAUGACAGUGUUGUUUUGUCCUGAGAUCUAGAAAAUGCUCAGAUGUUAGGGGCUGGCACUUCGAAUCAUAGAAAUUAUCGUCACAGAAACAACUGUUUUAAGAUCGGUUCUAUUGCCCACAUCCUGUCCUUCUGCAAGAAGCAUGGGAGUGCACACCAGAGUAAAAUACGCUUAUGGGAUUGGAAAUGAAAGGAAAAUAUGGAAGAAACCGUAGAGUUGGAGAGGACUUUUGUGUUUUACAAAACUGUGAAGGGUUGUGAUUACCUGGAGCAGCUUUCCAAUCUGUGUCAGCGCUGUGUGGUUCAGCCUCUGCUACCCCUCGGCUUAUAUGAAUCUGUAAACAUGUACCUGUUUCUUAUUUCCAGAAACAACAAUCAUACUUCUUAGAAGAAAAUUCGAUUUUUGGUGUAGAAAACAAAAGUGAGAGCAAGGAGAAAAUGACAUGUUUGCAAAGUCAUGUAUUUCCUUUCUCAAGGAGGGAAAAGCAAUUUCAUUAUGUGCUCAAAGCCCACCUGGAACUAAAAGGGAUACUACUUUCUACCAAGGCGUAUCUAGUAGCGGGGAAAGCCACCACAAUAAAUAUAUUUGUUGAUAGUUUUUAAAGUUUUGCUCAUUUUGUUUCAUUGUUUCAUUGGGAAAAAAAUGCAACUCUUAGAGACUCAUGAAUUUGGGAAGAAGAUCGUGUAUCUGUGCCAUUCAGAGCAUUUAUUUCUCAGAAUUUUUGUUUGCUUUUCAAUUGACCCAUGGAGAUUUCCUUGUAGAGUAUUAGGAGAUCUCUUUUGGGGAUUGAAGUCACCUAGCUGAAGGCCUCGCCCGUGUUCGACAGAGGACACAGCCCAGGGCAGGACGAGGCACCUCCAUGUGAGCAGCACAGACUCUCCUGACCCACCCUAGCCUUCUGUCAUACUGGGAGGACGCCCGGCUGCUCUGUUCAUGCUUCUUGCCCUCUGCAGAUCACUGUUUUAUCAAGAAUUUGCAGUGAGCCUGGAACCCCAUCUUUGAGCACUCUUCCUCCUCCAACUGUACAGCUCACGUCGACUGCUCAGCUUAAGCAGUUUUCCCACUCCUCUUUUCCUCUUCCCAAAUAUAAACAUUUUGAAUGAUG
RNA transcript from Sorex araneus (European shrew), 2909 nucleotides. It is a transcript of the gene named R-spondin 3, with no coding region annotated. The record is from RefSeq and is a predicted model, not a curated record. The transcript is spliced from 6 exons. NCBI's taxonomy places the organism in Eukaryota, Metazoa, Chordata, Mammalia, Eulipotyphla, Soricidae.